Molecule: ribosomal RNA, 253 nt
Filed under: uncultured bacterium
Lineage: Bacteria
Description: partial 16S ribosomal RNA
Rfam family: Bacterial small subunit ribosomal RNA
Source: RNAcentral
UACGGAGGGUGCAAGCGUUGCUCGGAAUUAUUGGGCGUAAAGAGCGUGUAGGCGGCCAAGUAGGUCCGGUGUGAAAACUCGAGGCUUAACCUCGAGACGUCGGUUGAAACCACCUGGCUAGAGUCCGGAAGAGGAGAGUGGAAUUCCCGGUGUAGCGGUGAAAUGCGCAGAUAUCGGGAAGAACACCCGUGGCGAAGGCGGCUCUCUGGGACGGUACUGACGCUGAGACGCGAAAGCGUGGGGAGCGAACAGG